Long non-coding RNA from Agrilus planipennis (emerald ash borer), 1247 nucleotides. RefSeq lists it as uncharacterized. The transcript has 2 exons. Lineage: Eukaryota; Metazoa; Arthropoda; Insecta; Coleoptera; Buprestidae. The record is from RefSeq and is a predicted model, not a curated record.
GUCAGACCUGUAUAUCUCUAAUGUAUAUUGCAAUACAUGCACUAAAGUUUGUCUAUGCACUAAUCUAGAAAUGUCUAUGACAUACACUCAUGCUUGGGAUUUGCGAGUGACAUUUCCAUUAAAUAUUACAGUAGAUGGGGUUUAUUUCAACUGCAUUUGAAUUUUGUUAUAAAAUUGGUUUUUCUUUUAAACAUCGUUGUACUUGUCAUUUGUGUGGCUUUUUCCACGUCUUCCUAUAGGUUUGAGGUUAUACUUGUGAAAUAGUGAUAGAAAAGCCCAUAUGUAUUUAUUGAUAUAUUUGUUCUAUUUGGGAUCAGGAAAACUGAAAAAGUAUAUAGGAAUACACAGUUUUAGAAUUAAAUACUUAAGACCUAGGCGAUUGAUUAGUACUUUUUAAUAUUAUGCACCAAAUAAUGAAUAAAGUGUGCGUAUAUAUAUAAAACCAUAAUUUUUUUAUACAAAAUUAUAAAUUUAGUAUAUAAUUGUUCUAUUGCUAAUAAUAAGUAACUUUGUAUAUUUUUGCAUGAUACGCUCUUUUUGAUGAAGGUAUUGAAUUCCGUGAACAUAUAUUUUUUAUAGUAAUGCCUAUCCUUUGUACUAUCUUCUCCAAGUAGGUUAAGAUUUUUUCGAUUAGAACCCCUUUCUGAUUGCUUCUAAUCGAAAAAAUCCUAGUAACACCUAGCCUAUAGGCUAGUACACUAAAAUUUAUUAAACAAAAAAUUAGGUACAACAGAAACCUAAAACUGAAAAAAUAACAGGGGCGGAUCUACUUAAAGGCUUUUUGGGCUGUAGCCCAGGGCCCCGUGAAUACAGAGGGCCCCCAACCUGAACUGAAAACAAUAGACGAUAUUGUCAAUAAUAAAAAUCAUCUAGAAUUAAAAAAAAUGCGAUCAAAGAUUGACAACACUGCUAUCAAUCAACCCGUGUGCGCAUCUAUCAAACGGAAUGGGGAAUUCCCCGUCGCUUGUUUUCGGUCGGUGUAUUCCGUGUAUUGUCUAUUACUGGGGACUUCCCUCUGCUUAUCGCCCGACGCAAUUUUGUUAGUUACAUUUAGUGAAUGUGCAUUCAGUUAAAAUUUUACUUACUGCAGUCUAAGACAGAGUCUUACACCUCUUGCGGUGAAUUUUUUUGGGUAAUUUAUGAAAAGAAAUUUGUUGAUGUUUUCCCAAACUGCUAUACCAUCUUAAAGAUUUUGUUAACGUUGCCGAUCACUAGCUGUGAAGCGGAGCGCUCUUUCUCCAGGAUGU